AUGGAGACGGGGGAGGCGGGAGACCCGGGUGGAUGGCUCGACCGAUGGAACCAACUUGCAGGUCAUCGCCAAAAUCGUCGGUCAAAAAGAUCCAGACGCCCGCCAUUAUAUAAUGGCCACCCCACUCGCCGCUCUUUCCCCAUGCCCAUCUCCUGUUUCCGCCCCCAACAAAGCGUGUCCCUCCUCGCCUCCUUCCUCCUUCCUCCUCACCCUCCUCAUCCGGCCGCGAAGCCAAGGGAAAGCAAGCAGAGCAACCAGAGAUGCAGCGAUAGACGCUGUAAAGAGAAUAGAUACGACGCGGACCUCCAUCCAAAACGACGAUAA
Molecule: ribosomal RNA, 324 nt
Filed under: Triticum aestivum (bread wheat)
Lineage: Eukaryota; Viridiplantae; Streptophyta; Magnoliopsida; Poales; Poaceae
Description: partial small subunit ribosomal RNA
Source: RNAcentral